UGGGGAAUAUUGCACAAUGGGCGCAAGCCUGAUGCAGCCAUGCCGCGUGUGUGAAGAAGGCCUUCGGGUUGUAAAGCACUUUCAGCGGGGAGGAAGGCGUUAAGGUUAAUAACCUUGGCGAUUGACGUUACCCGCAGAAGAAGCACCGGCUAACUCCGUGCCAGCAGCCGCGGUAAUACGGAGGGUGCAAGCGUUAAUCGGAAUUACUGGGCGUAAAGCGCACGCAGGCGGUUUGUUAAGUCAGAUGUGAAAUCCCCGGGCUCAACCUGGGAACUGCAUUCGAAACUGGCAGGCUAGAGUCUUGUAGAGGGGGGUAGAAUUCCAGGUGUAGCGGUGAAAUGCGUAGAGAUCUGGAGGAAUACCGGUGGCGAAGGCGGCCCCCUGGACGAAGACUGACGCUCAGGUGCGAAAGCGUGGGGAGCAAACAGG
RNAcentral lists this ribosomal RNA (429 nucleotides) under Chloroflexota bacterium. Its description in RNAcentral is "Chloroflexi bacterium partial 16S ribosomal RNA". It matches the Rfam family "Bacterial small subunit ribosomal RNA", at positions 355 to 776 of the family's 1533-position model. Lineage: Bacteria; Bacillati; Chloroflexota. The record is from RNAcentral.